Molecule: ribosomal RNA, 254 nt
Filed under: uncultured bacterium
Lineage: Bacteria
Description: partial 16S ribosomal RNA
Rfam family: Bacterial small subunit ribosomal RNA
Source: RNAcentral
UACAGAGGUCUCAAGCGUUGUUCGGAUUUACUGGGCGUAAAGGGCGCGUAGGCGGUCAGUGCAAGUCAGUUGUGAAAUCUCCGGGCUUAACUCGGAAAGGUCAACUGAUACUGCUCGACUAGAGUGCGGAAGGGGCAACUGGAAUUCUUGGUGUAGCGGUGAAAUGCGUAGAUAUCAAGAGGAACACCUGCGGCGAAGGCGGGUUGCUGGGCCGACACUGACGCUGAAGUGCGAAAGCUAGGGGAGCGAACGGG